CAAUUAAAGAAAUAUAUAAAAAAGCUGCUAACUUUUUACUAUAGUGAAUUUCAUUAAUAUUUCAUUUCUA
This 70-nucleotide transfer RNA is filed under the name Coniopteryx sp. YW-2016. RNAcentral describes it as "tRNA-Ser". The record is from RNAcentral. Lineage: Eukaryota; Metazoa; Arthropoda; Insecta; Neuroptera; Coniopterygidae.